UACGAAGGGGGCUAGCGUUGUUCGGAAUCACUGGGCGUAAAGCGCACGCAGGCGGGUCGUUAAGUCAGGGGUGAAAUCCCGAGGCUCAACCUCGGAACUGCCUUUGAUACUGGCGAUCUUUGAGUCCGGGAGAGGUGAGUGGAACUCCGAGUGUAGAGGUGAAAUUCGUAGAUAUUCGGAAGAACACCAGUGGCGAAGGCGGUUCUCUGGGCAUUACCUGACGCUGAGGAGCGAAAGUGUGGGGAGCGAACAGG
RNAcentral lists this ribosomal RNA (254 nucleotides) under uncultured bacterium. RNAcentral describes it as "partial 16S ribosomal RNA". It matches the Rfam family "Bacterial small subunit ribosomal RNA", at positions 524 to 776 of the family's 1533-position model. The record is from RNAcentral.